This 74-nucleotide transfer RNA is filed under the name Candidatus Blochmanniella pennsylvanica. RNAcentral describes it as "Candidatus Blochmannia pennsylvanicus tRNA-Val". It matches the Rfam family "tRNA". Rfam says of the family: Transfer RNA (tRNA) molecules are approximately 80 nucleotides in length. Their secondary structure includes four short double-helical elements and three loops (D, anti-codon, and T loops). RNAcentral also lists the same sequence under 3 other names. The record is from RNAcentral. Lineage: Bacteria; Pseudomonadati; Pseudomonadota; Gammaproteobacteria; Enterobacterales; Enterobacteriaceae.
AGGUGAUUAGCUCAGUUUGGCAGAGCAUCUCCCUUACAAGGAGAGGGUCGGCGGUUCGAUUCCGCCAUCACCUA